GACGAACGCUGGCGGCGUGCUUAACACAUGCAAGUCGAACGGCAAGGCCCUGCUUUCGUGGGGUGCUCGAGUGGCGAACGGGUGAGUAACACGUGAGUAACCUGCCCUUGUCUUUGGGAUGACUUCAGGAAGCUGGGGCUACUACCGGACAGGAUCUCCCGCUGCAUGGUAGGGGUUGGAAAGUUUCGGCUGCUAGGGAUGGACUCGCGGCUUAUCAGCUUGUUGGUGGGGUAGUGGCUUACCAAGGCUUUGACGGGUAGGCGGCCUGAGAGGGUGACUGGCCACAUUGGGACUGAGGGACGGCCGAGACUCCUACGGUAGGCAGCAGUGGGGAAGAUUGCACAAGGGGCAGAAGCCGGAUGAAGCAACGCCGCGGGCGGGAUAACGGCCUUCGGGUUAUAAACCGCUUGCGCCUGGGACGAAGCGUGUGUGACGGGAAUGGGUAAAAAAGGAACGGGUAACUACGUG
Molecule: ribosomal RNA, 468 nt
Filed under: uncultured bacterium
Lineage: Bacteria
Description: partial 16S ribosomal RNA
Rfam family: Bacterial small subunit ribosomal RNA
Source: RNAcentral